UACGAAGGGGGCUAGCGUUGCUCGGAAUUACUGGGCGUAAAGCGCACGUAGGCGGCUUUCUAAGUCGGGGGUGAAAUCCUGGAGCUCAACUCCAGAACUGCCUUCGAUACUGGAGAGCUUGAGUCCGGGAGAGGUGAGUGGAACUGCGAGUGUAGAGGUGAAAUUCGUAGAUAUUCGCAAGAACACCAGUGGUGAAGGCGGCUCACUGGCCCGGUACUGACGCUGAGGUGCGAAAGCGUGGGGAGCAAACAGG
This 253-nucleotide ribosomal RNA is filed under the name uncultured bacterium. RNAcentral describes it as "partial 16S ribosomal RNA". It matches the Rfam family "Bacterial small subunit ribosomal RNA", at positions 524 to 776 of the family's 1533-position model. The record is from RNAcentral.